UGGCUCAGUUGGAGGAGCAUGGCGCUUACAACACUAGGGUUGUGGGUUUGAUUCCCAC
This 58-nucleotide transfer RNA is filed under the name Salmo salar (Atlantic salmon). It matches the Rfam family "tRNA", at positions 8 to 63 of the family's 71-position model. From Rfam's summary of the family: Transfer RNA (tRNA) molecules are approximately 80 nucleotides in length. RNAcentral also lists the same sequence under 2 other names. Lineage: Eukaryota; Metazoa; Chordata; Actinopteri; Salmoniformes; Salmonidae. The record is from Rfam by way of RNAcentral.